RNAcentral lists this ribosomal RNA (561 nucleotides) under uncultured Gammaproteobacteria bacterium. RNAcentral describes it as "bacterial SSU rRNA". It matches the Rfam family "Bacterial small subunit ribosomal RNA", at positions 921 to 1482 of the family's 1533-position model. The record is from RNAcentral. Lineage: Bacteria; Pseudomonadati; Pseudomonadota; Gammaproteobacteria.
CCGCACAAGCGGUGGAGCAUGUGGUUUAAUUCGAUGCAACGCGAAGAACCUUACCUACUCUUGACAUCCAGAGAACUUUCCAGAGAUGGAUUGGUGCCUUCGGGAACUCUGAGACAGGUGCUGCAUGGCUGUCGUCAGCUCGUGUUGUGAAAUGUUGGGUUAAGUCCCGCAACGAGCGCAACCCUUAUCCUUUGUUGCCAGCGGUUCGGCCGGGAACUCAAAGGAGACUGCCAGUGAUAAACUGGAGGAAGGUGGGGAUGACGUCAAGUCAUCAUGGCCCUUACGAGUAGGGCUACACACGUGCUACAAUGGCGCAUACAAAGAGAAGCGACCUCGCGAGAGCAAGCGGACCUCAUAAAGUGCGUCGUAGUCCGGAUUGGAGUCUGCAACUCGACUCCAUGAAGUCGGAAUCGCUAGUAAUCGUAGAUCAGAAUGCUACGGUGAAUACGUUCCCGGGCCUUGUACACACCGCCCGUCACACCAUGGGAGUGGGUUGCAAAAGAAGUAGGUAGCUUAACCUUCGGGAGGGCGCUUACCACUUUGUGAUUCAUGACUGGGGUG